AAAGAUUAAGCCAUGCAUGUCUAAGCACAUGCCUUAAUACGGUGAAGCCGCGAAUAGCUCAUUACAACAGCCAUCGUUUAUUAGAAUAUCGUUAUCCUACUUGGAUAACUGUGGCAAUUCUAGAGCUAAUACAUGCAAUAAAGCUCCGCCCGCAAGGAACGAGCGCAUUUAUUAGAAUAAAAACCAAUCGAGUUUCGGCUCGUAAUUUGGUGAAUCUGAAUAACUUUGCCAAUCGCACAGUCCUAGUACUGGCGAUGUAUCUUUCAAGUGUCUGCCUUAUCAACUUUCGAUGGUACGCUAUACGCCUACCAUGGUAGUAACGGGUAACGGAGAAUAAGGGUUCGACUCCGGAGAGGGAGCCUGAGAAACGGCUACCACAUCCAAGGAAGGCAGCAGGCGCGCAAAUUACCCACUUCCAGAACGGAGAGGUAGUGACGAAAAAUAACGAGACAGUCCUCUUCGAGGUCUGUCAUCGGAAUGGGUACAAUUUAAAUCCUUUAACGAGGAUCUAUUGGAGGGCAAGUCUGGUGCCAGCAGCCGCGGUAAUUCCAGCUCCAAUAGCGUAUAUUAAAGUUGUUGUGGUUAAAAAGCUCGUAGUUGGAUCUGCGUUCGGCCGGGGUGGUCCCCCACUGGGCGGCACUACUUCGGCUGGACUAAUCAUUCGGUUUUCUCUUGAUGCUCUUAACUGAGUGUCUUGAGUGGCCGGAACGUUUACUUUGAAAAGAUUAGAGUGCUCAAAGCAGGCCGUUUGCCUGAAUAACCGCGCAUGGAAUAAUGGAAUAGGACCUCGGUUCUAUUUUGUUGGUUUUCGGAACUUGAGGUAAUGAUUAAGAGGGACAGACGGGGGCAUUCGUAUUACGGUGUUAGAGGUGAAAUUCUUGGAUCGCCGUAAGACGAACUACUGCGAAAGCAUUUGCCAAGAAUG
RNAcentral lists this ribosomal RNA (925 nucleotides) under Pungentus silvestris. Its description in RNAcentral is "bacterial SSU rRNA". It matches the Rfam family "Eukaryotic small subunit ribosomal RNA", at positions 39 to 966 of the family's 1831-position model. Lineage: Eukaryota; Metazoa; Nematoda; Enoplea; Dorylaimida; Nordiidae. The record is from RNAcentral.